CAUAUCAAUAAGCGGAGGAAAAGAAACUAACAAGGAUUCCCCUAGUAACUGCGAGUGAAGCGGGAAAAGCUCAAAUUUAAAAUCUGUCAGUCUUUGGCUGUCCGAGUUGUAAUCUAGAGAAGCGUUAUCCGCGCUGGACCGUGUACAAGUCUCCUGGAAUGGAGCGUCAUAGAGGGUGAGAAUCCCGUCUUUGACACGGACUGCCAGGGCUUUGUGAUGCGCUCUCAAAGAGUCGAGUUGUUUGGGAAUGCAGCUCAAAAUGGGUGGUAAAUUCCAUCUAAAGCUAAAUAUUGGCGAGAGACCGAUAGCGAACAAGUACCGUGAGGGAAAGAUGAAAAGAACUUUGGAAAGAGAGUUAAACAGUACGUGAAAUUGCUGAAAGGGAAACGCUUGAAGUCAGUCGCGUUGUCCAGGGAUCAACCUUGCUUUUGCUUGGUGUACUUUCUGGUUGACGGGUCAGCAUCAAUUUUGACUAUUGGAAAAAGAUUAAGGGAAUGUGGCAUCUUUGGAUGUGUUAUAGCCCUUGGUUGCAUACAAUGGUUGGGAUUGAGGAACUCAGCACGCCGCAAGGCCGGGUUUUUAACCACGUACGUGCUUAGGAUGCUGGCAUAAUGGCUUUAAUCGACCCGUCUUGAAACACGGACCAAGGAGUCUAACAUGCCUGCGAGUGUUUGGGUGGAAAACCCGAGCGCGUAAUGAAAGUGAAAGUUGAGAUCCCUGUCGUGGGGAGCAUCGACGCCCGGACCAGACCUUUUGUGACGGUUCCGCGGUAGAGCAUGUAUGUUGGGACCCGAAAGAUGGUGAACUAUGCCUGAAUAGGGUGAAGCCAGAGGAAACUCUGGUGGAGGCUCGUAGCGAUUCUGACGUGCAAAUCGAUCGUCAAAUUUGGGUAUAGGGGCGAAAGACUAAUCGAACCAUCUAGUAGCUGGUUCCUGCC
RNAcentral lists this ribosomal RNA (937 nucleotides) under Cortinarius xenosma. RNAcentral describes it as "partial large subunit ribosomal RNA". It matches the Rfam family "Eukaryotic large subunit ribosomal RNA", at positions 39 to 962 of the family's 3401-position model. Lineage: Eukaryota; Fungi; Basidiomycota; Agaricomycetes; Agaricales; Cortinariaceae. The record is from RNAcentral.